GGGGAAGGGGCUCAUGUUCAGACAUUGGGUGGGCGAGGGAGAAUUAGGAUAUUUGGGGAAAUUUUUAAAUAAUUUUAUUGUUAAAGACAUCAACAGAUAAAUAAUAUUAUUGGUAAAGACUUUCAACAGCCCAUAAAUUAGACUAUAAACUUUGUUACACUUUAAACAACACUGACCCUAUCCAAUUUUGACCAAUCUUAACACAC
This 206-nucleotide long non-coding RNA is filed under the name Mytilus galloprovincialis (Mediterranean mussel). Lineage: Eukaryota; Metazoa; Mollusca; Bivalvia; Mytilida; Mytilidae. The record is from RNAcentral.